This 476-nucleotide ribosomal RNA is filed under the name uncultured Pseudomonadota bacterium. RNAcentral describes it as "bacterial SSU rRNA". It matches the Rfam family "Bacterial small subunit ribosomal RNA", at positions 33 to 505 of the family's 1533-position model. The record is from RNAcentral. Lineage: Bacteria; Pseudomonadati; Pseudomonadota.
ACGCUGGCGGUAGGCUUAACACAUGCAAGUCGUGCGAGAAAGUAUCUUCGGAUAUGAGUAGAGCGGCGGACGGGUGAGUAACGCGUAGGAAUCUACCUAGUAGAAGGGGAUAGCCCGAGGAAACUCGGAUUAAUACCGUAUACCUCCUUAGGGAGAAAGAGGGCCUCUCUUGAUGCUCUCGCUAUUAGAUGAGCCUGCGUAAGAUUAGCUUGUUGGUGAGGUAAUGGCUCACCAAGGCUACGAUCUUUAGCUGGUCUGAGAGGACGAUCAGCCACAUUGGGACUGAGACACGGCCCAGACUCCUACGGGAGGCAGCAGUGGGGAAUAUUGGACAAUGGGCGCAAGCCUGAUCCAGCCAUACCGCGUGUGUGAAGAAGGCCUUCGGGUUGUAAAGCACUUUAAGCAGGGAGAAAAAGUUAUAAGUUAAUACCUUAUAACCGUGAUGUUACCUGCAGAAUAAGCACCGGCUAAUUCCG